RNAcentral lists this ribosomal RNA (215 nucleotides) under uncultured fungus. RNAcentral's name for it is "partial small subunit ribosomal RNA". The stretch from base 48 to 215 matches the Rfam family "Eukaryotic small subunit ribosomal RNA", at positions 695 to 864 of the family's 1831-position model. The record is from RNAcentral. Lineage: Eukaryota; Fungi.
GAUCGGGUUGGGUGGUCCGCUUAACAGCGUGUUACUGCUUGACUGGGUCUUGUCUCCUGGUGACCAUGGUGUUCUUUAUUGGAUGCUUUGAGGAACCAGGACUUUUACCUUGAGAAAAUUAGAGUGUUCAAAGCAGGCUCAUGCCCGAAUACAUUAGCAUGGAAUAACAAAGUAGGACGUGCGGUUCUAUUUUGUUGGUUUCUAGAGUCGCCGUA